Podarcis lilfordi (Lilford's wall lizard) is the source of this 1913-nucleotide non-coding RNA. The record is from the annotation of a GenBank genome assembly. Lineage: Eukaryota; Metazoa; Chordata; Lepidosauria; Squamata; Lacertidae.
GCAUUCACAGUGACUGCGAGAGAAUAUGGCAGGAGGUUUUUGCAUCGGCCGACCAACAACAACUACUCCAUCUGAGGGCCGAGCAACUGUACCAAAGCCCCUUGGCGGAAUCUGCCACCACAGUGGUAAGGACAAACCGCCUGCUUUCUGGUUUCCUUCUCCCCAGCGUAAUAUCCAGGGGUUUCUGUAUUCAGCAUAAAAGCAGGGAAAGUGACUUGCACCUCUCUCUCUUCCAGCAACAUCUGACCAGCCUGUUGCACGCCAUCCUCAGGAUGGAGGAAUACAAGGCAGCUGUGCACCAGCACUUCCCACAGCUGCUGAUCGCUCUCCUGGGAAUGCUUAUCAACUUCCCCUAUGACCAGGAAUUCCCCAGAUGAGUAGUGCAUUGCAAAGCGGCCAAUAGAGUCCUUUUUCCCUUCAGCCUCUGGGGGUUUCCAGUCCAGUUGGUUUUCCAAGGGAGGCUCUCCUUCAGGCGGCUACUAGGGAGCAAGGAUGGGGAAUGAAUUUGAUUCUGUUUGCAUGUCAAGGCAGAUCUGCAUAAUUCACAUUUUCUGGAAAUAACAACUUCUGGGGAAGCCUCGUAAACAUGGUUUUCCACUUUGGUUCUUGAUGUUCUGACUUACAAUAAUCAAAUACCAAACAGUACAGAAAACCAGGAUCUUUUGAUGCUAUCCUGCUGAGAGCAGCUCUUUUUUCUUUUUCUUUUUUCCAGAUAAGAGGUCCUGAUUCCCAAAGCCUGUGGCAGUGACCCACCUGGUAAUACUGGCCUUGUUUUGAAUACAGAGAGGCUAAGGAACAUCUGCACCACCUUCUCAGCACCACUGGAGAGAAGCUAGAGACAGCCAUCAUAGACCAAUUUUUCUGCCCGGAGAAUUUCAGCCAGGGGUUGUCUGCCAUGGUGAGGUAAGAGGAAGAACACAGUGACCUUCUAAUGGUCUGGCAAAUGGAGCUCAAGGCAUGGGAUAGGAAUGUGUCCCUGAAAGUGAUACUGUUGGAUUCCUCCCAUGGUGGAAAACAUCACCGCUGCUCUUAAGAACAAGGAGUUUGGCAGAAUGCCACAAGCAGCUGGAGCUAUCUACAUCGAGGUGAGGGGGACUGACGCAGGAGGAAAUGGGUGCAGCAAGGAGGCCCUGACUUGGUUUCUGCUGAGAGUUGGGCUUUGUGUUCUUCAACUCUGUCUUUCCCAGAGGGACGUGUCCUUCCACUAACAGCAGAGAGUCCCCCAAGGCCAAAUUCUGCAUCUCUUCUGCCACAUCCAUGCCAUCUUUGGCUACACUGAAGACAUGGUGAAGCAAAGUUUGGUCUCUGACCAAUACAACCAUGUUGUGGUUGUCUUACAACAUAGCAGAGGCAUCUUUAUUGAUGAGAUCUCUGCGGGUGAAGGGGCUUUUGUGGUCUCCCUACACAAGGCCUUCCUGCAACAUUGUUUUUGGGUGGCCCCAAGAAGCGCAGCUCCCAAGGUUCCCCAUUUAAAGGCUUUCCUCCGGAUGCAGACAACAGAUACUCGCCCUCCCCAGUUUAGACGGCAACCCCAGUGGGGGUUCUCCAACAUGCCCCCAUCAGAGUUUGGACCUUGCACCUACAUUUAACUUCAAUAUUCUGUGGCUUACGUCAAAGCUACUUAGAGCCUAAGGAUUGUCUACAGUUUUGGUGUUCCUCAGAGUAGACCCAUUGGACUUAAUGUACAUGGUGAACUUAGGUCCAUUCACUUCCAUGGGUUUGCUUCACACAGAACUGUGUUGGAUACAACUCUCCAUCUGUAGUAAGAAUACAGAUGGUGGAUAAACCGAGAACCUGUCUAAACCUUUCAUCCCUGAAGAACACACCUAGUGCAACCACAUAUAGGCAGCUUUUCCAGCUGCAUGCAAGUUUACAUGUUUCUUGUAACCCUCUGACGGUAAAUACAUCCAGAC